Molecule: long non-coding RNA, 782 nt
Organism: Sardina pilchardus (European sardine)
Lineage: Eukaryota; Metazoa; Chordata; Actinopteri; Clupeiformes; Clupeidae
Exons: 4
Source: RefSeq, a predicted model, not a curated record
CAUACGCUGAAGUCACCUGCGAUGCCGUCAUGUGUCUCUCCAAACUUUUGGAUUUGGAUGGCACAGUCUUGUUGGCGUCCUUCCCGGCCAAGCGCUCGAAGACUUCUUUCUUUACACUAAUUUUGCCAAACUGUGUUGUUCUACAUCUCUCGCGGGGGUUUUGAACACACUCUCUCGGACGCUACCUGAGCGCAGGACACUUGAAGCACGAGGUGUGCGACUGUUUGGCUCCGAGAGGAUUUUGGACUGUCGAGAUUCGGCACCACUAGGCCCUCGGUUCUCCUUGGUGACAACAGUGUCCUCCUUUCUCUGCUGCUUCUCUCUUCGCUGCUGCUCAUGCAGAUAUGGGGAGUUGAGGAGCUGAGGCGGCAACUGGGAUCCUGUGGGCUUCACUCGGUUUGUAACCUGAAGAAACAGACGCUUGUGGCUGUUGUUGAGGAAUGUAAUCGCACUGCCUCUAUGACCCAGUCUUCCAGCUCUGCCAAUCUUGAAAAGAAUUAUUUGUACCUGAUGAACAUAUUCAUCCAUGUUGGAAGGCAUGUCGAAGUUCACUACUAGCUUGACAUUGACCAAGUCGAGGCCUCUGCCCAAAACUCCAGUGCUGAUGACCACUUCAAAGUCUCCAUCAAGCAGGCCCUAAAACAGUUCAAAAGGUCAAACAGUAUGUUUCAUUAAGCAUAGUGCUACGCACUGUAACCACAAUAAGUGCUAACAUAUGCCAAAGCCAAAUAAAGAAACCACUGUCCCUUUUAAACAGCAAUCACAACUUCCUGAACCAUCAA